UACGGAGGGUGCAACCGUUGCUCGGAAUCAUUGGGCGUAAAGCGCACGUAGGCGGUUCGUUAAGUUGGAUGUGAAAGCCCUCGGCUUAACCGAGGAAGUGCAUCCAAAACUGGCGAGCUUGAGUAUGGAAGAGGGUCUCGGAAUUCCCGGUGUAGAGGUGAAAUUCGUAGAGAUCGGGAGGAACACCAGUGGCGAAGGCGGAGACCUGGGCCAAUACUGACGCUGAGGUGCGAAAGCGUGGGGAGCAAACAGG
This 253-nucleotide ribosomal RNA is filed under the name uncultured bacterium. Its description in RNAcentral is "partial 16S ribosomal RNA". It matches the Rfam family "Bacterial small subunit ribosomal RNA", at positions 524 to 776 of the family's 1533-position model. The record is from RNAcentral.